RNAcentral lists this ribosomal RNA (446 nucleotides) under uncultured bacterium. RNAcentral describes it as "bacterial SSU rRNA". It matches the Rfam family "Bacterial small subunit ribosomal RNA", at positions 329 to 792 of the family's 1533-position model. The record is from RNAcentral.
UGCCAGACUCCUACGGGAGGCAGCAGUGGGGAAUAUUGCACAAUGGGGGAAACCCUGAUGCAGCGACGCCGCGUGAGCGAUGAAGUAUUUCGGUAUGUAAAGCUCUAUCAGCAGGGAAGAAGAUGACGGUACCUGACUAAGAAGCCCCGGCUAACUACGUGCCAGCAGCCGCGGUAAUACGUAGGGGGCAAGCGUUAUCCGGAUUUACUGGGUGUAAAGGGAGCGUAGACGGCGGCGCAAGCCAGAUGUGAAAGCCCGGGGCUCAACUCCGGGACUGCAUUUGGAACUGUGUGGCUGGAGUGUCGGAGAGGCAGGCGGAAUUCCUAGUGUAGCGGUGAAAUGCGUAGAUAUUAGGAGGAACACCAGUGGCGAAGGCGGCCUGCUGGACGAUGACUGACGUUGAGGCUCGAAAGCGUGGGGAGCAAACAGGAUUAGAUACCCCCGUA